Molecule: transfer RNA, 63 nt
Filed under: Simulium haysi
Lineage: Eukaryota; Metazoa; Arthropoda; Insecta; Diptera; Simuliidae
Description: partial tRNA-Cys
Source: RNAcentral
AGCCUUAGUAAUGUAAUCACUCCUUUAGAAUUGCAGUCUAAUGUCAUUGUUGACUAUAAAGCC